Molecule: small RNA, 4561 nt
Filed under: Arabidopsis thaliana (thale cress)
Lineage: Eukaryota; Viridiplantae; Streptophyta; Magnoliopsida; Brassicales; Brassicaceae
Description: ATSL095360
Source: RNAcentral
UUCAACUCAAAUUGAUGCACCUGCCACUCAGCAAUUCAUCUGGACUAUAGAGCACACACCUUUGCUGAAUACUCACCAUUCUAGAAAAGAGUUCAAAAGUGAAAAAUUCAAGAAGGAUCAGAAUCAAGAGAUGAUCAGCAGUGCCUCUACUCAAGAAACAUACAAGAAGAAAGUCAUCCAAGAAAAGCUUGAUGAUCCCGGUUCAUUCACUCUACCAUGCUCUCUAGGACCAUUGACAUUCAAUAGGUGCCUUUGUGAUUUGGGAGCAUCUCUUAGCCUUAUGCCUCUCUCUACAGCUAAAAGGCUAAGGAUCAUGGAAUUCAAGUUCUGAAACUUAGCCUUACUCUUAGCUGAUGGUUCUGUUGCACAUCCUCAUGGUCUAGUAGAGAAUCUGCCUGUCAAGAUUGGAAAUGUUGAGAUACCUACAGACUUUGGGGUAUUGGACGUAGAUGAAGAAGGCAAGGAUCCCCUGAUCCUAGGCAGACCAUUCUUAGCUUCAGCUGGAGCAGUCAUAGACGUCAGGAAUGGAAAAAUUAAUCUGAACCUUGAAAAAGGCAUCAAGAUGAAGUUUGACAUCAGAGAAGCUUCAAAGAAAUCAACAACAGGAGGUCAGAGUUUUGGAAUUCAAGAUAUGGAUGUUGAUGAAGAAACAGAAGCUGAAACCUCACCAAAAGUCAACUAUACUUCUCAACUCAGCAAGCUGAAGAGAACUUUUGACCACAAGAAGAGAGAAACAGAAAGGCUAUCUCAGACUGAAGAUCCUGAAGAAGAUGACUGGUAUGAGAUGAGAAAAAAAUUUAAAUGGCAAAGCAGAGUCAUAGACGGAUUGUCUUCAAGGGUGAUGAAGCUGAAAGAUCAACUUUGGAUAUUUGAAAAAAGAGUUAAAAAGUUUUCAGAUGGUAUUGACCCAGAGAAGAUGGAAACUGCACUAGCUAUCAAGAAGGACGAAAAUUUCACAACAGAAUGGUUUGCACCAGAAGAUCAGAAAGGAGUUCACUUAGAGGAAAGAAGCUUAGGGAGCAAGUUGUUGAGUGAGGAGGAAACUCCUAUUUUGACUUAUUCUCUAGGAGUGCCUAAACAGCCCACCAACCCCUCUGCUGAAGAGGAACACUUGACACUUGAUUCUGUUACUGAAGAACUUGUGGAACUCAGGAUAGAAUACAAAGCUCAAGAGGAUACCAUUGGAGAGCUAACUUACAAAAUGGAAGGACUGAACCAUGCAAUCUUGGAACUUCAAAAAAUGGUUACAGGCUACACCAGUUUUGAAUUUGAGGAUUGGUCAAAAGAACUUGGUUCAGAAGAAGAAGACUACUCUGCUGCUCAGAAAAAUCUUAUUUUGAAGAAAAAUCAAAUGAGUACUCAUCCUACCAUAUCUCAAGAGAGGAUGUAGAGUAUGACUCAAGCACUGAAAAUUCAUCCACUGAAGAUAAGGACUUCUCUGUUCCUCUCUUCAACCUUUUUCUUACUAAGCACUGUAAGAGUCAAGCUUAAUGACUUAAAACAAGCUCACUUGGGAGGAAGUCCCAUGUCUAUCCAUGUAAAUAACUUUCUAUUUUUCUUGUUAUUUUUGAUGUUUUUGUUUAAGUGUUUUAGGUUUGUUUUAGUGACCCUAAGAGAGUCAACGGUCGAGUAAAUUCAAACCAAGUCAAGAAAAAUCUCAACCGUUGAUCGAGUAGAAUGAGGAGGAGUAUUUUGAGCCAUUGAUUUGGAUGACCAAAUGAGAGGAGCAUUACCGUCGUUGGAUCGAGUGACUUUCAGAAGUUAAUUUUGGUCCGUUUGAUCGAGUAAACAAGAAAGAAAAGUUCCCCGUCGUUGGAUCAAAUUUUUCGCACUUCAAGAGGAUGCUCGAUCCUUUGCUCGAGCUCUCAUUAUUUGAAGACCAUGGCAUAACUUCGUGACCCCACUUGUUCCCCCAACACUCUUUUACUCAAUGGACAAAGCGAUUACCCAUGCCCCUCACCAUUUAUAAUCAACUUUUCUAUCCCUUCCCAAAGAAACCAAACACCAAUCUCCUCCACCCAUUGAAUUCGACAAACCCACUUUUGAAACUCUCUCUUUCAUCAUCUCAUUUUCGCAACCUCUCCAUCUCUCACAAAGCUUCGAAGUUUCACUCCAAACUCUCCCUAUCACUCUUCACGAAUUCGUUCUCACUUCAUCAUACUUCACCAAAGUUACUCGAUCACUUCCAAGCUCAUCCUCAAGCACUCAAUCGGUUUCAAGCUCCAAAUUUCAUCACCAAAUAAACUGAUCCCCUUACCCCUUGAUACCUCUUGGAGAGUUGUUUUUAAUUGCUUGGUUGAAACUCACCACCAUGGAUUCAAGAAGGAAGAGUUCGUCUCGGGCAAGAAGAUCCUCUGUCGAUCAUGAAGAAGUUGAUGCGUUUGACAUGAGUGGCAUGACUGAACGCCAAAUUCGCCAAGCUCGCCGUGCUCAAAGAACAAACUUGAUUCAAGGAGGAAGCUCAAGCCGCUCAACCAUGCAAAGAGAAGAAGUAGCUCGGGGAAAGAGGGUGGUUGAAGCUGAAGAAGAACACCAUGAAGAGGCGCCCUUUGAAGAAGCGGUUUCUGAAGAAGAGGUUGAGAUCAUCGGAGAUGAUACACCAACCCCUGUUGGGAGAAGAAACCGACCAAGGAGGAAGAGAGAACCAACCCCGAGCGAGUACUAUCAAUAUUUGAAGGAGUUGAAGUUUGAGGGAACUAGAUACCCUCAUAAGGAAAUGAUGCAAGAGCUUGGUAUUUGUGGUGAUGUGGAAUACUUGAUGGAAUUGGCCAAUCUUGCAACAUUCAUGAGCUGCCAAUGUGGGGGAUACAAAGAGGAGAGCUGCCAACUCCUUGCAACCCUCAAGGUCCAUUUUUGUGUUGAUGAUUCGGAGAAGGAAGAGAGAGUAGGUCUUGGUUACAUAACUUUCAAGGUUAGGGGUGUCGAGUAUACUCUUGAUAUAUGCAAUCUUGAUACCAUUUUCGGGUUCCCUAGUGGAGAAGGAAUCCGCCAAGACUAUGAUCAAGAAGAGCUGAAAUCCCUUUGGAAAACAAUAGCCGGUCUGAAACCCUUCUCACCAACCAAGAGCAAGAGUUCUUCAAUCUGUAAUCCCGUGAUUAGAUACCUCCACCAAUGCAUCGCCAACACCCGUUUUCCAAAGAAGGCCACCGGAUUUGUUAGUGAAGAAGAGCUAUGCAUGAUAGACCAAUCUUUGGUCUUCAUUUUGAGGGAGACAUGAGAUGGGAGGAAGAUGGUGGGGGAUAGAGCGGACACUUCGUUGAGUGUUGUUCUCUUGGAUCACUUAUUGAGUUACAAGGAGUAUGCUGCAACUAUCCAUCGCUCGGGAAUUCGUGGGAGUUUUUGUGUUGGUAGUCUCUUAACGCCAAUACUAGGAGCUGUGGGUAUGGAACUUGGAGCCCCUGACGUGUUGCCCAAGUUCAUUGACCUCGACUAUCUCAAGGGGAGGAAUUUUCUUGAGAAAACAACUCCGGCGGAUCGCUAUCUCUUCAACUUCAACCACUCGGAGCUUGGACCUUCUCUUCUACCCCUACUAUGUGAGAACCGGACUUCGGUGAAGACAAGACGCAACAUCAAUUUCAUGCCAUCUCCCUCUGCCUUGAACAUCGACAUUGGAGGAGCUCAGGAAGAUGAAUCAGAAUAUAGUCCGGCCAACUAUGAGCAACAUGAGUACUUUACUCAAGCUGAUUAUGAGGAGCAAAUCGAGUUUGAACAACAUGUUGAUCAACCGGAGCAUGGGGGUAGCGAACAAGAGUAAGCUCAUUAUGAAGAAGGUGUUAACCAAGGAGAAGAUGAGUUUGCUGAAGUUCACAAGAAGCUCGGUGUACUUGAAGAGCUUGGGAACCUUCACAGCAAGACAAUGAAGGGUUUAGAGAAGAAGAUGAGAACAAUGAAGAAGUCGCUCAAGAGUAUGGCUGCUCAACUCAAGGACUUCCAGAGCAACCCAAGGCCACCAUCUCCAACCGCCGAAGUAAGAAGGAGCGGUUCAACGAGCUCAGCUGCAAGGAGAGCUGAAAGGAUCGUCAACCCCGAGCUUCAUCUUUUGAGCCUCGGGAAGUGAUCUCCGAGUUGAGAGAGCCAAGGAGCAGGCAGAGACGAGCUUCCACACGCUCGAUCGGACAGAACGAGCAAUACCCUCCCGCCUCAACUUCAGCCCCUGCCUAUACCCAAGAGAGUAUGGAUGACUAUGUCUCCAUCUACUUCACCUGAAAACUGAGGUAACACCACCUCUCCAUUGUAUAUACCAUAGCAUCUUUUUAUUUUUCUUUGUGUGUUUUGUGCUUUGGUCUUGAAUGCUCUUUCAGAUUUUUAUUACACUAGGGACUAUGUAAUUUAAGAUUGGGGAGGGUUCAAGACAUGUUUAACAUUGUGUUCUCUUUUCUUAUUUCAAAUUUUGCAUCAUCUAAGGCAUAGAAAAACCAUAAAAAUUUGAAAUAUUUUCAGAAAAUGAUUUCAUAAAAAAGAGUGUCAUGUAGAUUGCAUAUCAUUUUAGGAUUGUAUAUAGAGUGUUUGCAUUUAGGAUUGCUCAUUUGCAUAGGGGAUGAUGAUGAUUUCAAAUCGAUAA